RNAcentral lists this microRNA precursor (192 nucleotides) under Oryza sativa (Asian cultivated rice). RNAcentral describes it as "miR5837 stem-loop (osa-MIR5837)". Lineage: Eukaryota; Viridiplantae; Streptophyta; Magnoliopsida; Poales; Poaceae. The record is from miRBase by way of RNAcentral.
GAAUUGGAAGGGUGAUGUGGAGCGUUCGGCAAUGUUGGAAUGACAUGCAGCUUCGAAGACAUUCUUGAUGCUUUCCAAGCCUAUAGCUGUACAGAGAUGGAGGGAUCUCAUGCAGUUUUCUUAGAAAGUUUGAUGCAUUGUGUCUCACUCUGAUCAAUGGCUUAGCGUUUUGUAUGCGCCUUUUACCUUGUC